This is a long non-coding RNA of Thalassophryne amazonica, 248 nucleotides long. RefSeq lists it as uncharacterized. NCBI's taxonomy places the organism in Eukaryota, Metazoa, Chordata, Actinopteri, Batrachoidiformes, Batrachoididae. The transcript is spliced from 3 exons. The record is from RefSeq and is a predicted model, not a curated record.
CGUUAGGACCAGUUCUUUUUGACUCCAACAACGCUGCUUUUAAAGUAGAAUUCCUUCGUGAAGAGGGUGAGUUACUUAUUUGCAGAGGGUUUUCUGUUUUAUCGGGGAUGGAUGUUGCGUGGUGUUGAUAGUGAUUCCUGCCGAGUGGGGAUGUUUUAAGUUAUUUGGCAUUAUUGGCUAAGGGCUAAGCUAACUAGCCGCUAUGUGGUCUGUUUAGACGAUAUUAUUGAAGAACUGUCUGUUCUGAG